GCGGGCGUGGUGGAAUUGGCAGACACGUUGGAUUUAGGUUCCAAUGGUUUUACCGUGCAGGUUCAAGUCCUGUCGCCCGCACCA
This 84-nucleotide transfer RNA is filed under the name Oscillospiraceae bacterium. RNAcentral describes it as "tRNA-Leu". It matches the Rfam family "tRNA". Rfam says of the family: Transfer RNA (tRNA) molecules are approximately 80 nucleotides in length. Their secondary structure includes four short double-helical elements and three loops (D, anti-codon, and T loops). Lineage: Bacteria; Bacillati; Bacillota; Clostridia; Eubacteriales; Oscillospiraceae. The record is from RNAcentral.